This 324-nucleotide ribosomal RNA is filed under the name uncultured eukaryote. RNAcentral describes it as "partial 18S ribosomal RNA". It matches the Rfam family "Eukaryotic small subunit ribosomal RNA", at positions 1470 to 1796 of the family's 1831-position model. The record is from RNAcentral.
CCCUUAGAUGUUCUGGGCUGCACGCGCGCUACACUGAAGCUAUCAACACGUUUUCCCUCCCUGAGAAGGGCGGGUAACCUUUUGAAUCAGCUUCGUGGUAGGGAUCGGGGCUUGCAAUUGUUCCCCGUGAACCAGGAAUUCCUAGUAGACGCGAGUCAUAAGCUCGCAUCGAUUAAGUCCCUGCCCUUUGUACACACCGCCCGUCGCUACUAACGAUUGAACGUUUUAGUGAGGCAUUUGGACCGACGCAUCUCAGUUUAACCGCUGGUUUGUGUUGGAAAGACUUCCAAACUUGAGCGUUUAGAGGAAGUAAAAGUCGUAACA